UGGGGAAUUUUGGGCAAUGGGCGAAAGCCUGACCCAGCAACGCCGCGUGAAGGACGAAAUCCCUCUGGGAUGUAAACUUCGAAAGUCGGGAAAGAAAUCGCACGGGAUAAUACCCCGUGUGGAUGACGGUACCCGACGUAAGCCCCGGCUAACUACGUGCCAGCAGCCGCGGUAAUACGUAGGGGGCAAGCGUUGUUCGGAAUUACUGGGCGUAAAGGGCGCGUAGGCGGCACAGCAAGUCGGGAGUGAAAGCCCGGGGCUCAACCCCGGAACUGCUUUCGAAACUGCUGAGCUAGAGUGCGGAAGGGGCAACCGGAAUUCCCAGUGUAGCGGUGAAAUGCGUAGAUAUUGGGAAGAACACCUGAGGCGAAGGCGGGUUGCUGGGCCGACACUGACGCUGAGGCGCGAAAGCCAGGGGAGCAAACGGGAUUAGAUACCCCGGUAGUCCUGGCCCUAAACGAUGGAUACUUGGUGUGUGGGGUUCUCUGAGUCCCCGCGUGCCGGAGCUAACGCGGUAAGUAUCCCGCCUGGGGAGUACGGUCG
RNAcentral lists this ribosomal RNA (543 nucleotides) under uncultured Acidobacteriota bacterium. RNAcentral's name for it is "bacterial SSU rRNA". It matches the Rfam family "Bacterial small subunit ribosomal RNA", at positions 355 to 888 of the family's 1533-position model. Lineage: Bacteria; Pseudomonadati; Acidobacteriota. The record is from RNAcentral.